RNAcentral lists this ribosomal RNA (446 nucleotides) under uncultured organism. Its description in RNAcentral is "partial 16S ribosomal RNA". It matches the Rfam family "Bacterial small subunit ribosomal RNA", at positions 335 to 797 of the family's 1533-position model. The record is from RNAcentral.
ACUCCUGCGGGAGGCAGCAGUGGGGAAUAUUGGACAAUGGGCGCAAGCCUGAUCCAGCCAUGCCGCGUGAGUGAUGAAGGCCCUAGGGUUGUAAAGCUCUUUCACCGGUGAAGAUAAUGACGGUAACCGGAGAAGAAGCCCCGGCUAACUUCGUGCCAGCAGCCGCGGUAAUACGAAGGGGGCUAGCGUUGUUCGGAUUUACUGGGCGUAAAGCGCACGUAGGCGGACUAUUAAGUCAGGGGUGAAAUCCCGGGGCUCAACCCCGGAACUGCCUUUGAUACUGGUAGCCUUGAGUUCGAGAGAGGUGAGUGGAAUUCCGAGUGUAGAGGUGAAAUUCGUAGAUAUUCGGAGGAACACCAGUGGCGAAGGCGGCUCACUGGCUCGAUACUGACGCUGAGGUGCGAAAGCGUGGGGAGCAAACAGGAUUAGAAACCCGAGUAGUCCCA